UCGACAAGGUGCCGAGUCCUCUGCUACGUAUCUUUCUCGGGCCGCCGUGUAUAAACGACGCGACGAACCGCAAGUGCACCGCAAACGUUUACCGUGAAAUAUUAAACGCGUGACGCCGCAUCAACGACGGAGGGAGGCUCGGGUCCUCGAGAGCGGCUGAAUGAAAUGUUAAUUGAAACAGAAAUCAGUGUCACGCGCGUUACGCGCCCGCUCUCGUCGCAUCGGGACAGAUGUACGCGCUCGGCGCCAGAUUUAUGACGCUCUCCGACGACCAGCGAUACGGUUGCUCGUUUCGCGGUGCGAUUUUUAACGUUUCGAACGCGAGCAUUGUCCGCGAGAACCGCGGACUAGAUAAGGCCGCGUAAUUCCGAAUCGCAGUCGUCGAUACCGCGACGAUAUCGCGGCGUAAUUUUGCGACAGGUUUAUUGAUUCUCCUCGUUCGUGACUUGAUCGUUUUACCGUAUCCGAGCGCCGUUCACGCAAUUUUCUAUCCUUUAUUAAUCUCUAGACCGAUCCUUACUCGCGUAAUUUUGUUUUUGGUACGAGUGCGCGUUAUUUUUUUUUUUUUUCACUCGCGUAAUUAUUUAUUUAUCAAUUUCUGGCUGAUCGGUCCAGGCGUAAUUUUAUUCCGUAGUUGGUCGUGUUCCCGAAGGAAUUGAAAAACACGAGGCACGAAAGAUGAAGGAUGGAGAACAAGUUUAAUCAACCUUUUCGUAUAGAAUUUAUUUGGAACUCUUCGAGCAAUUUCAACGAAUAACGAACAUUCGUCAAGAAAACCGAAAAGAGAUCCAUUUCACGUCGCAACGCAAAGAAUCCUACAUAUUCCCGUAUUUUAACGAGGAAAUAUGACUCUUGGCACGGAUUAAUCGCGAACGUGGCGCGGUCGCGCGAUGGAGGCGAAGGGGAAAAUUCGGCGUGUUUGCCGAGACAACGGUGGGAAGGCGGAAAUAAAUAAGAGAACACGGUACUUGGACGACGUUCGGCCUCCCCGCGGGUUUGUCGUGCGCGUAGGAGACGCUAGUGGCUGCCAUCCAAAAAUAUUUCGCCGGUGAAACGCUUAUUUCGACGUGGCGAGAGCGGUUGCGUCGAAGGGAGAAGACAAACAAGCAAGAAGAGGACCGUGUUCCGGACCCCGUUGCUCGGGCUGCGUACCAGACAUAAGUAUGCAGUUUUCGUCCAGGAAGAGACGGGGAGAUUCCGAGAAAAUUUAUUCGCCGGACAGAGUCCUCGUUUUGCAGCGCGACGCGUGACUCGAUUCGACGCCGCGAGGAAUGGACUCCCGCUGUCACGGCCGCUCCUGCCGCGACCAUUUUAACCGUGUUACCCGCUUCGCCGAGAGGGCACGUCGAUCUUUUACGUUGCGGACGAUUCUCGGCGAAUGCGGGCUUUUUGCGUUAGCUCGACCAGGGGUUCAUUUUUACGAGGGAAAAUUCUUCGAGAAUUUAUUCUGUCU
Hylaeus volcanicus is the source of this 1453-nucleotide long non-coding RNA. RefSeq lists it as uncharacterized. The record is from RefSeq and is a predicted model, not a curated record. The transcript has 3 exons. NCBI's taxonomy places the organism in Eukaryota, Metazoa, Arthropoda, Insecta, Hymenoptera, Colletidae.